GACGAACGCUGGCGGCGUGCCUAAUACAUGCAAGUCGAGCGCAGGAAACUGACGGAACUCUUCGGAGGGAAGGCAGUGGAAUGAGCGGCGGACGGGUGAGUAACACGUAAGGAACCUGCCUCAAGGAUUGGGAUAACUCCGAGAAAUCGGAGCUAAUACCGGAUAGUUCAUCGGACCGCAUGGUCCGCUGAGGAAAGGCGCUCCGGCGUCACCUUGAGAUGGCCUUGCGGUGCAUUAGCUAGUUGGUGGGGUAACGGCCCACCAAGGCGACGAUGCAUAGCCGACCGGAGAGGGUGAUCGGCCACACUGGGACUGAGACACGGCCCAGACUCCUACGGAAGGCAGCAGUAGGGAAUAUUCCACAAUGGACGAAAGUCUGAUGGAGCAACGCCGCGUGAGUGAUGAAGGUUUUCGGAUCGUAAAACUCUGUUGUAAGGGAGGAACACGUACGAGAGGGAAUGCUCGUACCUUGACGGUACCUUACGAGAAAGCCACGGCUAACUACGUGCCAGCAGCCGCCGUAA
This 524-nucleotide ribosomal RNA is filed under the name uncultured bacterium. Its description in RNAcentral is "partial 16S ribosomal RNA". It matches the Rfam family "Bacterial small subunit ribosomal RNA", at positions 28 to 523 of the family's 1533-position model. The record is from RNAcentral.